This 87-nucleotide transfer RNA is filed under the name Spirochaeta sp. Its description in RNAcentral is "tRNA-Leu". It matches the Rfam family "tRNA". From Rfam's summary of the family: Transfer RNA (tRNA) molecules are approximately 80 nucleotides in length. Their secondary structure includes four short double-helical elements and three loops (D, anti-codon, and T loops). Further hydrogen bonds mediate the characteristic L-shaped molecular structure. tRNAs have two regions of fundamental functional importance: the anti-codon, which is responsible for specific mRNA codon recognition, and the 3' end, to which the tRNAs corresponding amino acid is attached (by aminoacyl-tRNA synthetases). tRNAs cope with the degeneracy of the genetic code in two manners: having more than one tRNA (with a specific anti-codon) for a particular amino acid; and 'wobble' base-pairing, i.e. permitting non-standard base-pairing at the 3rd anti-codon position. The record is from RNAcentral. RNAcentral also lists the same sequence under 4 other names. Lineage: Bacteria; Pseudomonadati; Spirochaetota; Spirochaetia; Spirochaetales; Spirochaetaceae.
GCCCGGGUGGCGGAAUUGGUAGACGCGCCAGACUCAGAAUCUGGUGUUCGCAAGGACGUGCUGGUUCGACUCCAGUCCCGGGCACCA